This 464-nucleotide ribosomal RNA is filed under the name Lacticaseibacillus paracasei. RNAcentral's name for it is "bacterial LSU rRNA". It matches the Rfam family "Bacterial large subunit ribosomal RNA", at positions 2482 to 2925 of the family's 2925-position model. Lineage: Bacteria; Bacillati; Bacillota; Bacilli; Lactobacillales; Lactobacillaceae. The record is from RNAcentral.
CCUAUCCCUCGUGUGCCUUCGGUCGAGUCUCAGCGACCGGGGAGGGUUUGGGUCGACCUCCGAUAGUUCGGCGUCCAUCGCAUCCUGGGGCUGUAGUCGGUCCCAAGGGUUGGGCUGUUCGCCCAUUAAAGCGGUACGCGAGCUGGGUUCAGAACGUCGUGAGACAGUUCGGUCCCUAUCCGUCGCGGGCGCAGGAAAUUUGAGAGGAGCUGUCCUUAGUACGAGAGGACCGGGAUGGACGUUCCGCUGGUGUACCAGUUGUGCCGCCAGGCGCAUCGCUGGGUAGCUAUGAACGGCAGGGAUAAACGCUGAAAGCAUCUAAGUGUGAAGCCCCCCUCGAGAUGAGAUUUCCCAUUCCUAUAUGGAAGUAAGACCCCUGAGAGAUGAUCAGGUAGAUAGGCUGGAAGUGGAAGUGCAGCGAUGCAUGGAGCGGACCAGUACUAAUCGGUCGAGGACUUAACCAA